RNAcentral lists this transfer RNA (59 nucleotides) under Anabolia furcata. RNAcentral describes it as "tRNA-Ser". The record is from RNAcentral. Lineage: Eukaryota; Metazoa; Arthropoda; Insecta; Trichoptera; Limnephilidae.
GAAUCUUCAACAAUUAAGCCGCUAACUUAAUUUAUAGUGUUUAAAACAUUAAAGUUUCU